Brachypodium distachyon (stiff brome) is the source of this 125-nucleotide non-coding RNA. The record is from Rfam. Lineage: Eukaryota; Viridiplantae; Streptophyta; Magnoliopsida; Poales; Poaceae.
UUGCUACUCCCUCGGACCCAUAUUACUUGUCGAAAUAUUACAUGUGUCUAGACGCUUUUUAAACAUAGAUACAUCCAUAAUUGGGCAAAUUUGAGACAAGUAAUAUGGGUCGGAGGGAGUAGUAC